This 517-nucleotide ribosomal RNA is filed under the name uncultured bacterium. RNAcentral's name for it is "bacterial SSU rRNA". It matches the Rfam family "Bacterial small subunit ribosomal RNA", at positions 29 to 518 of the family's 1533-position model. The record is from RNAcentral.
ACGAACGCUGGCGGCGUGCCUAAUACAUGCAGGUCGAACGGUCUUUCUAUGGAAGCUUGCUUCCACUGAGAAGAUAGUGGCGAACGGGUGAGUAACACGUGGGUAACCUGCCCAUAAGAGGGGGGAUAACAUCCGGAAACGGGUGCUAAUACCGCAUAGUUUUCUUGAUCGCAUGAUCGGGAAAGGAAAGACGGCCUUUGUGCUGUCGCAUAUGGAUGGACCCGCGGCGUAUUAGUUAGUUGGUGAGGUAACGGCUCACCAAGACGAUGAUACGUAGCCGACCUGAGAGGGUGAUCGGCCACAUUGGGACUGAGACACGGCCCAAACUCCUACGGGAGGCAGCAGUAGGGAAUCUUCCGCAAUGGACGAAAGUCUGACGGAGCAACGCCGCGUGAGUGAAGAAAGGUUUUCGGAUCGUAAAACUCUGUUGUCAGAGAAGAACAAGUUGGAGAGUAACUGCUCCAGCCUUGACGGUAUCUGACCAGAAAGCCACGGCUAACUACGUGCCAGCAGCGGC